AGCGAACGCUGGCGGCAGGCUUAACACAUGCAAGUCGAGCGGGCACCUUCGGGUGUCAGCGGCGGACGGGUGAGUAACGCGUGGGAACGUGCCCUCUGGUUCGGAAUAACUCAGGGAAACUUGAGCUAAUACCGGAUACGCCCUUUUGGGGAAAGGCUUGCUGCCGGAGGAUCGGCCCGCGUCUGAUUAGCUAGUUGGUGAGGUAACGGCUCACCAAGGCGACGAUCAGUAGCUGGUCUGAGAGGAUGAUCAGCCACACUGGGACUGAGACACGGCCCAGACUCCUACGGGAGGCAGCAGUGGGGAAUAUUGGACAAUGGGCGCAAGCCUGAUCCAGCCAUGCCGCGUGAGUGAUGAAGGCCUUAGGGUUGUAAAGCUCUUUUAUCCGGGACGAUAAUGACGGUACCGGAGGAAUAAGCCCCGGCUAACUUCGUG
Molecule: ribosomal RNA, 435 nt
Filed under: uncultured bacterium
Lineage: Bacteria
Description: partial 16S ribosomal RNA
Rfam family: Bacterial small subunit ribosomal RNA
Source: RNAcentral